This 253-nucleotide ribosomal RNA is filed under the name uncultured bacterium. Its description in RNAcentral is "partial 16S ribosomal RNA". It matches the Rfam family "Bacterial small subunit ribosomal RNA", at positions 524 to 776 of the family's 1533-position model. The record is from RNAcentral.
UACGGAGGGUGCAAGCGUUAUUCGGAUUCACUGGGCUUAAAGGGUGCGUAGGCGGAUAGGUAAGUCCGUGGUGAAAUCCUGCAGCUUAACUGCAGAACUGCCGUGGAUACUAUCUAUCUUGAAUGUCGUGGAGGUUAGCGGAAUAUGUCAUGUAGCGGUGAAAUGCUUAGAUAUGACAUAGAACACCCAUUGCGAAGGCAGCUAACUACGCGAUAAUUGACGCUGAUGCACGAAAGCGUGGGGAUCAAACAGG